UUGCUAGUGUGGCGAGGGGACUCAAAGACUGAAGAUGUGUAUUUUGAUGACAUCAUACACAUCAUCAAGGAAGAAUCAAUAACCAACAACGUGAUAGAUGCUUAUGGUGAAAUUCUACUUGAACUACAAGGGCUAGUCAACCCAAGUUUGGAAGAUUCAUCAUUCAUCUUUACAAGCACAUGUUUGAAAAUCAUGCAAGAGUACCCCCUACAAGAGGAAUAAACUGA
Molecule: non-coding RNA, 227 nt
Organism: Camellia sinensis
Lineage: Eukaryota; Viridiplantae; Streptophyta; Magnoliopsida; Ericales; Theaceae
Source: RefSeq, a predicted model, not a curated record